This 162-nucleotide ribosomal RNA is filed under the name Croton cascarilloides. RNAcentral's name for it is "5.8S ribosomal RNA". It matches the Rfam family "5.8S ribosomal RNA". From Rfam's summary of the family: 5.8S ribosomal RNA (5.8S rRNA) is a component of the large subunit of the eukaryotic ribosome. It is transcribed by RNA polymerase I as part of the 45S precursor that also contains 18S and 28S rRNA. RNAcentral also lists the same sequence under 3 other names. Lineage: Eukaryota; Viridiplantae; Streptophyta; Magnoliopsida; Malpighiales; Euphorbiaceae. The record is from RNAcentral.
AACGACUCUCGGCAACGGAUAUCUCGGCUCUCGCAUCGAUGAAGAACGCAGCGAAAUGCGAUACUUGGUGUGAAUUGCAGAAUCCCGCGAACCAUCGAGUUUUUGAACGCAAGUUGCGCCCAAAGCCAUUCGGCCGAGGGCACGUCUGCCUGGGUGUCACGC